RNAcentral lists this transfer RNA (77 nucleotides) under Deltaproteobacteria bacterium. RNAcentral describes it as "tRNA-Arg". It matches the Rfam family "tRNA". Rfam says of the family: Transfer RNA (tRNA) molecules are approximately 80 nucleotides in length. Their secondary structure includes four short double-helical elements and three loops (D, anti-codon, and T loops). Lineage: Bacteria; Pseudomonadati; Myxococcota; Myxococcia. The record is from RNAcentral. RNAcentral also lists the same sequence under 3 other names.
GCGCCUGUAGCUCAGUUGGAUAGAGCAACGGACUUCUAAUCCGUAGGUCGCAGGUUCGAAUCCUGCCAGGCGCGCCA